This 420-nucleotide ribosomal RNA is filed under the name Candidatus Williamhamiltonella defendens. RNAcentral describes it as "bacterial SSU rRNA". It matches the Rfam family "Bacterial small subunit ribosomal RNA", at positions 62 to 470 of the family's 1533-position model. Lineage: Bacteria; Pseudomonadati; Pseudomonadota; Gammaproteobacteria; Enterobacterales; Enterobacteriaceae. The record is from RNAcentral.
UCGAGCGGCAUCGAGUGAGCGCAGUUUACUGAGUUCAUGUCGGCGAGCGGCGGACGGGUGAGUAAAGUCUGGGAAUCUGGCCGAAGGAGGGGGAUAACUGCUGGAAACGGCAGCUAAUACCGCAUGAAGUCGCGAGACCAAAGUGGGGGACCUUCGGGCCUCACGCCUUCGGAUGAGCCCAGAUGAGAUUAGCUGGUAGGUAAGGUAAAGGCUUACCUAGGCGACGAUCUCUAGCGGGUCUGAGAGGAUAGCCCGCCACACUGGAACUGAGACACGGUCCAGACUCCUACGGGAGGCAGCAGUGGGGAAUAUUGCACAAUGGGCGAAAGCCUGAUGCAGCCAUGCCACGUGUGUGAAGAAGGCCUUCGGGUUGUAAAGCACUUUCAGCGAGGAGGAAGCGAUAAAUGCCAAUACCAUUUA